Molecule: ribosomal RNA, 257 nt
Filed under: uncultured bacterium
Lineage: Bacteria
Description: partial 16S ribosomal RNA
Rfam family: Bacterial small subunit ribosomal RNA
Source: RNAcentral
UACAGGGGGUGCAAACGUUGCUCGGAAUCAUUGGGCGUAAAGCGCACGUAGGCGGUCUGUUAUGUCGGAUGUGAAAAGCCCUUGGCUCAACUGAGGAAGUGCAUCCGAAACUGGCAGGCUAGAGUACUAAAGAGGAUCGCGGAAUUCCCGGUGUAGAGGUGAAAAUUCGUAGAUAUCGGGAGGAACACCGGUGGCGAAGGCGGCGAUCUGGGUAGAUACUGACGCUGAGGUGCGAAAAGCGUGGGGAGCAAACAGGG